RNAcentral lists this transfer RNA (86 nucleotides) under Oceanimonas sp. MB9. RNAcentral describes it as "tRNA-Val". The record is from RNAcentral. Lineage: Bacteria; Pseudomonadati; Pseudomonadota; Gammaproteobacteria; Aeromonadales; Aeromonadaceae.
CGAGCCAUCGCCUGGGGGCGCUGUCCGUCCACGCUGGCCAGGGUACGCCAGUGCUCAAGUCCCAGGUUCAGGCCGGGCGGUUCGUC